CGAGUUUUGGUGCAAAAUAUAUAGAUGUCUUUAAAAAUGCAAAGAAAAAACUAAACACUUUCACAUAUGUUGCAAAUGAACAGGCUUUACAGGCUGUAAGCUCUGCCCACACUAGAAUGCAGCAUAGCCAACCAGGAACCUGUCAUGCUGAUCUGUGGAGGAUGAAAUCAGCACUGCAAGGUGUAAAGUGCUGAUAAAGCACAAAUUGAAUAAUGCUCUGCUCAGAGAUUGGACAUGUGCCAGUCUGUUCAGUACAAAGUGAACUUCUAAAAUACGUCAGGCACUGGUUUCCCAGAUUCAUAAAAGAAAUUGAUCAGUUCUGACUUUUAUCCG
Non-coding RNA from Pelobates cultripes (western spadefoot toad), 333 nucleotides. The record is from the annotation of a GenBank genome assembly. Lineage: Eukaryota; Metazoa; Chordata; Amphibia; Anura; Pelobatidae.